Non-coding RNA from Lyngbya majuscula, 77 nucleotides. The record is from Rfam. NCBI's taxonomy places the organism in Bacteria, Bacillati, Cyanobacteriota, Cyanophyceae, Oscillatoriales, Microcoleaceae.
GGGAGCCGUAUGAUGCGAAAGUGUCACGUACGGUUUUGAAGACGAGUCAGUGGGGUGACUCACUGACUUAGUUUAAU